Molecule: long non-coding RNA, 423 nt
Organism: Thalassophryne amazonica
Lineage: Eukaryota; Metazoa; Chordata; Actinopteri; Batrachoidiformes; Batrachoididae
Exons: 3
Source: RefSeq, a predicted model, not a curated record
CAGAGGUUUGACGGUGCUGAAGAAUCCAUAAAUGCACAGCAGAGUUGUGGGAAACCGCCAGUCUGCCCUCCACGUCUUCACAGACUCCAUCUGCCUCUGCUCCAGUCUGCCUGUUUCAGAUGCACGCCAACAACCUGUCUUACCUACGAGAGCGCAGACAGCUUCUACCCCUCCAUUAUAGACCGAGGAUGUGGCAGAUGGUUUGAUAUGGUCCCACAUCAGCUGGAUAUAGUUGAAGAUCUGCCCAUAGCCAGCUGCUGCCAGAGCCCACCACAGAGACCAGUAGAUUAAAUGCCUGGAUGAGUAUGACUGCUUGAAGCUUUCCCAGAGUAGAUGCACAGCACUGAUGAUGUUUUCUCUGCUGCACCAGCCUGCACAGACACUACACGUCGUCUUAUCAGGCUCUGCACCGGCCUGAUUAUU